RNAcentral lists this ribosomal RNA (484 nucleotides) under uncultured bacterium. RNAcentral describes it as "partial 16S ribosomal RNA". It matches the Rfam family "Bacterial small subunit ribosomal RNA", at positions 30 to 507 of the family's 1533-position model. The record is from RNAcentral.
AUUGAACGCUGGCGGCAGGCCUAACACAUGCAAGUCGAGCGGAUGAAGGGAGCUUGCUCCUGGAUUCAGCGGCGGACGGGUGAGUAAUGCCUAGGAAUCUGCCUGGUAGUGGGGGAUAACGUCCGGAAACGGGCGCUAAUACCGCAUACGUCCUGAGGGAGAAAGUGGGGGAUCUUCGGACCUCACGCUAUCAGAUGAGCCUAGGCCGGAUUAGCUAGUUGGUGGGGUAAAGGCCUACCAAGGCGACGAUCCGUAACUGGUCUGAGAGGAUGAUCAGUCACACUGGAACUGAGACACGGUCCAGACUCCUACGGGAGGCAGCAGUGGGGAAUAUUGGACAAUGGGUGAAAGCCUGAUCCAGCCAUGCCGCGUGUGUGAAGAAGGUCUUCGGAUUGUAAAGCACUUUAAGUUGGGAGGAAGGGCAGUAAGUUAAUACCUUGCUGUUUUGACGUUACCAACAGAAUAAGCACCGGCUAACUUCGUG